Molecule: non-coding RNA, 71 nt
Organism: Parelaphostrongylus tenuis
Lineage: Eukaryota; Metazoa; Nematoda; Chromadorea; Rhabditida; Metastrongylidae
Source: the annotation of a GenBank genome assembly
ACCUCGGUGGUAUAGUGGUGGCACUCGUCCCUGGUAUGGAUGAAACUCGGGUUCGAUUCCAGCCUGAGGCG